AUACGGAGGGUGCAAGCGUUAUUCGGAAUCACUGGGCGUAAAGGACGCGUAGGCGGGUCGGCAAGUCAGAUGUGAAAUCCUACAGCUUAACUGUAGAACUGCAUUUGAAACUGCUAACCUAGAGUAUGGGAGGGGGAGAUGGAAUUAGUGGUGUAGGGGUAAAAUCCGUAGAUAUCACUAGGAAUACCGAAAGCGAAGGCGAUCUCCUGGAACGUAACUGACGCUAAGGCGUGAAAGCGUGGGGAGCGAACAGGAUUAGAAACCCUAGUAGUCC
Molecule: ribosomal RNA, 274 nt
Filed under: uncultured bacterium
Lineage: Bacteria
Description: partial 16S ribosomal RNA
Rfam family: Bacterial small subunit ribosomal RNA
Source: RNAcentral